Molecule: long non-coding RNA, 990 nt
Organism: Nicotiana tabacum (common tobacco)
Lineage: Eukaryota; Viridiplantae; Streptophyta; Magnoliopsida; Solanales; Solanaceae
Source: RefSeq, a predicted model, not a curated record
AAGAGACCUAAUUCUUAACCUAGGACCCCUCUUCUUCACCCUUGCAAGAAAAAAAAAAGCAGUCAUCUCUCACACACAAGAAAACCCUAGGACCACUCUUCUUCUUCUCUAACCUAGACACCCUAGGAGCACACUCCCUAAUUCCCCAUGACCUAGCUGCUACCCCGCCAAAAAACUUGCCGGAAAAAGAAUGGCCUCCAUCCCCUGAACCACCAAGCCGCCGGCAAACCAGUGGCCUUACCCCCAUCCCCAGUUGUCGACCUCUCCUACACAAAGAACCGCCGCCAGUAGCAACCUGGUGUGAGAUUGUGAUCGAACUUUCUUGUUGCUCAAGCUGCUCAACAUAUCUUUGAUUUGUUCUUCUUCAUUAAACUCCCAAAGUGAUUCAAAUUUGGUUAGCUUCUCAAGUCAAGCAAAGUUUCCCGUGAACCUUUCGAUUCUUCGAGGUGUCCUGUUUGCGGCGCUUGGUCAAUAGUGUUUCUAGUUCAAUUGAGGUCCGAUCUAGCUUUCGUCGCUCGUUUUUCAGUCUUGUGCUACCAAACAUUUGGGUUUAAAGGUGUUGUUUUUGUUGAGGGGCUAAGGAUACUUUCUUCAAUGGAUUGCCUAGUAAAGUCAUUUUUCUAUGAUGUUGAGACAUAUCCUUCUCUUCUUUUGCUGUUAGCCGGCUUGAACACAACUUUACUCUUUUUUGGCAUUUUCUCAGUCUUCUUCUGAUCUUCUUCUUUCUAUUCUUUUUGUUUUUGCAAUUGACCUCUUUAUUUUGUUGUUUUUGUGUGAUUUCUGGAGUCAGCAGAUUUUGAGGUUUUUCAUUACUGCUCACAUUAGCCUUGCUCCCCUCUUGUUCAAUGGUUAACUGAUUGCCAUUUCCUUGAUUCUGAGUCUCUUUUUCUUCUUCUUUAUUUUCAGUUUUUUUUUCUAGAGCUCUGCAAUUGAUCAUGUAAUGACCAAUUUUCCUAUAGUGUUUACAAUAUUUUGGUACUCCUUCAUACU